CAUAUAGAUUUAAUACCAGCACUUCUAUAUCAUGUUAGGUAUGACAACCUAUCUUAAGUGAUGUUAAGUAAUUAUGACGCCGUUGCUAGGGAUAGGUUUAGAAGUCUUUUUUUAGUAGUUGUGUUAAGAAGUGUCAACGGACCCUAAGGAACUAGUCUUGCAGUUAGAGUCAAAUUAUGUGCUCUCCAUCCAUUGAUCUUAGCUACUUCUAUCCUCAGAAGUACGCAACGACUUACAUCCACCACAUUCACCAUGUGCUACUUCUAUUCCUGGAAGUACCACCCACAUAUACGUACUACACUCUAUGCUAUUUCUAUCCUAGAAACACACACUUAUGCUGCUCCUACUCUGAGAGUACGCAUUCAUUCACCUAUCCACAUUCCACAUCCACUUAGAAUAUGUUCUACUCCUGCACUAGGAGAAGACAGCCAAAAAUUGUCAUUGUCAUUAUGUCUUAUUUUACUUAUCCAACAAAGCUCCAGUUAUUUCAGUUAUACUCCCUAUUGCUAUCAGUGUUUUGAAAGGGAUUGGCUGAUGUAAAAAAAGAGAAAAGAGAGAAAAAGAAAGAAAGAGGACAAAAGUCCCAUUGCAAAAGAAAAGAAAGACAGCCAAGUCCUUGUUUUUAGAUUAGGGAGGUAUGUUAUCCCCAAGGAGCAAUUGUAGAAUUAGAUAUUCACCCUCAUAACCACUUUUAUUCUUAUCAUUCAUUGCACUCACAUGCACAUAUGACUUGAUUGUAUAAUUAGUUUCUCUAGAUCCAUGUUUAACUAUGCAAUACAUGCAAGUAGGAUUGAAUUGUGUUUCCCACCUAUGAGCUCCACAGAAGCUAAUUAGAAAUAGGAUGAGAAAGAGAAAGCAACUAUGUCUUAGUGAUACAAAUACCACAUAUUCUCAGAGCAGAGAGAAGGCACACUCACUUGCCUUAGAGAGGAUCCAAAAAUACCACAUAUGAGAGAUUAGAAAGUGUCAUACAAGGAAACUCUGAGUUUUAUUUAAAAAUAUUGCAAAACUCAAGAAUAAUAGUUGAUCAAAGAACGAGUAGCAUAAUGCUCGACUUAAUUGUUCUGUCUUUCAACUACCCAAGACCUAAGUGAUAGCUAUAAGCCCCAUGAUGAAAGGUAAAAUGGGUGAGUCUUGAGUCAGAAUAGUUCACUGUAAUCUAGAUGGGAGUCUUUGUUUGAAUGCUUGUGUACUUGUGAGGUGUGAAAGUAUUAUAGCAUCCCCU
RNAcentral lists this long non-coding RNA (1225 nucleotides) under Sorghum bicolor (sorghum). RNAcentral describes it as "long non-coding RNA (SBIC_LNC010960)". The record is from RNAcentral. Lineage: Eukaryota; Viridiplantae; Streptophyta; Magnoliopsida; Poales; Poaceae.